This 327-nucleotide ribosomal RNA is filed under the name uncultured eukaryote. Its description in RNAcentral is "partial 18S ribosomal RNA". It matches the Rfam family "Eukaryotic small subunit ribosomal RNA", at positions 1470 to 1796 of the family's 1831-position model. The record is from RNAcentral.
CCCUUAGAUGUUCUGGGCCGCACGCGCGCUACACUGACGAAUGCAACGAGCUUAUAACCUUGGCCGAAAGGUCUGGGUAAUCUCCAAAUUUCGUCGUGAUGGGGAUAGAUUAUUGCAAUUAUUAAUCUUCAACGAGGAAUGCCUAGUAAGCGCAAGUCAUCAGCUUGCGUUGAUUACGUCCCCGCCCUUUGUACACACCGCCCGUCGCUCCUACCGAUUGAAUGGUCCGGUGAAGCGCUCGGACCGCGGCCUCUUGACGGUUCGCUGUCGAUUGGCUGUGGGAAGUUCGUUAAACCUUAUCAUUUAGAGGAAGGAGAAGUCGUAACA